RNAcentral lists this ribosomal RNA (240 nucleotides) under uncultured bacterium. RNAcentral describes it as "partial 16S ribosomal RNA". It matches the Rfam family "Bacterial small subunit ribosomal RNA", at positions 96 to 334 of the family's 1533-position model. The record is from RNAcentral.
CGGCGAACGGGUGAGUAACGCGUGAGGAACCUGCCUCAAAGAGGGGGACAACAGUUGGAAACGACUGCUAAUACCGCAUAAGCCCACGACCCGGCAUCGGGUAGAGGGAAAAGGAGCAAUCCGCUUUGAGAUGGCCUCGCGUCCGAUUAGCUAGUUGGUGAGGUAAUGGCCCACCAAGGCGACGAUCGGUAGCCGGACUGAGAGGUUGAACGGCCACAUUGGGACUGAGACACGGCCCAG